This 493-nucleotide ribosomal RNA is filed under the name uncultured bacterium. RNAcentral describes it as "bacterial SSU rRNA". It matches the Rfam family "Bacterial small subunit ribosomal RNA", at positions 8 to 518 of the family's 1533-position model. The record is from RNAcentral.
AGAGUUUGAUCAUGGCUCAGGACGAACGCUGGCGGCGUGCUUAACACAUGCAAGUCGAGCAAAGAAUAUAGCAAUAUAUUCUUAGCGGCGGACGGGUGAGUAACGCGUGGGCAAUCUGCCUCAUACAGGGGGGAUAACACUGGGAAACUAGUGCUAAUACCGCAUAAAAUAGUGAAGUGGCAUCACUUUACUAUCAAAAGGAGCAAUCCGGUGUGAGAUGAGCCCGCGUCCGAUUAGCUAGUUGGAGGGUAACGGCCCACCAAGGCGACGAUCGGUAGCCGAACUGAGAGGUUGAUCGGCCACAUUGGGACUGAGACACGGCCCAGACUCCUACGGGAGGCAGCAGUGGGGAAUAUUGCGCCAAUGGGGGAAACCCUGACGCAGCAACGCCGCGUGAAGGAUGAAGGUUUUCGGAUUGUAAACUUCUUUGAUUGGGGACGAUAAUGACGGUACCCAAAAAACAAGCCACGGCUAACUACGUGCCAGCCGCGGC